GGCUUAAAUAAAUUAAAAAGACGAUAAGACCCUAUAAAUCUUUACAUUUGUUAUUAUAGGUUUUGGAUUGUGUGUGUAAAAAAAAAUAUAAUAAAAAUGUUGUGUUGGGGCAACAGUGAUAUAGUAAUAUUAAUUGUUAAAAAUAAAAACAAAUAUAUUUGUUAAAUAAAGAUCCUUUUUAAAGAUUUAAAGAUUAAGUUACUUUAGGGAUAACAGCGUUAUUUUUUCUGAGAGUUCUUAUCGAAGAAAAAGAUUGCGACCUCGAUGUUGAAUUAAAAAUUCUUUUUAAUGCAGCAGUUAAAAAAGAAAGUCUGUUCGACUUUUAAAUUUUUACAUGAUUUGAGUUCAGACCGGCGUGA
This 359-nucleotide ribosomal RNA is filed under the name Clibanarius antillensis. RNAcentral describes it as "partial 16S ribosomal RNA". The stretch from base 209 to 359 matches the Rfam family "Bacterial large subunit ribosomal RNA", at positions 2473 to 2624 of the family's 2925-position model. The record is from RNAcentral. Lineage: Eukaryota; Metazoa; Arthropoda; Malacostraca; Decapoda; Diogenidae.